GUGCUUGCCUUGGUAGCGCAUAUACUAAAGCUGGAAUGAUACAGAGAAGUUUAGCAUGGCCCCUGAACAAGGAUGACAUUCAAAUUCAUGAAGCAUUCCAUUUUUUA
Molecule: small nuclear RNA, 107 nt
Organism: Gorilla gorilla gorilla (western lowland gorilla)
Lineage: Eukaryota; Metazoa; Chordata; Mammalia; Primates; Hominidae
Source: Ensembl